CCUACGGGUGGCAGCAGUCGAGAAUCAUUCACAAUGGGGGAAACCCUGAUGGUGCGACGCCGCGUGGGGGAAUGAAGGUCUUCGGAUUGUAAACCCCUGUCAUGUGGGAGCAAAUUAAAAAGAUAGUACCACAAGAGGAAGAGACGGCUAACUCUGUGCCAGCAGCCGCGGUAAUACAGAGGUCUCAAGCGUUGUUCGGAAUCACUGGGCGUAAGGCGUGCGUAGGCUGUUUCGUAAGUCGGGUGUGAAAGGCGCGGGCUCAACCCGCGGACGGCACAUGAUCCUGCGAGACUAGAGUAAUGGAGGGGGAACCGGAAUUCUCGGUGUAGCAGUGAAAUGCGUAGAUAUCGAGAGGAACACUCGUGGCGAAGGCGGGUUCCUGGACAUUAACUGACGCUGAGGCACGAAGGCCAGGGGAGCGAAAGGGAUUAGAUACCCCAGUAGUC
Molecule: ribosomal RNA, 446 nt
Filed under: uncultured bacterium
Lineage: Bacteria
Description: partial 16S ribosomal RNA
Rfam family: Bacterial small subunit ribosomal RNA
Source: RNAcentral